Xenopus laevis (African clawed frog) is the source of this 521-nucleotide long non-coding RNA. RefSeq lists it as uncharacterized. Lineage: Eukaryota; Metazoa; Chordata; Amphibia; Anura; Pipidae. The transcript has 2 exons. The record is from RefSeq and is a predicted model, not a curated record.
CAGUCUGGGGGUAUUUAUACAUGAAAUUUCCUGAAAUGUGAAAUUAAAGUUGAAAUUCCCUGAAAAUUCGGUGAAAACACACGGGAAAGUGGGUGGAGUCAAAGGGGAGUGGCUAAAAUGGGGCGUGACCAAAAAAUUGCAAAAAUUGCUUCUCGUCCUGGCCCCCCCAUCUGAAACCAUCUUCUGCUGCCUAUGGACUGUUCGGGGCAUCCAAUAUCUCACGGUCCUGAACUGACAAUUUGUGAAGAUCUGCUUCUCGUAGGAAUUCCACACCAUCCUGUGGAUCAUCGGAAGAUGACUCAUAGAAUUUCCUGAAAUGUUCUGCCAUUAUGUUUUUAAUUUGUGUCGUGUCAUGUGUCCAUCCAUUCUGUGUUUUGAGUUUUUGUAUAAAUGUGUUACGGGAUCUUCUUUUAGCUAUUUGUGCCAAUAAUUUUCCCGAUUUGUUACCAAAUCUGUAAAAUUUGUUUGCAGUAUGACUGAUUGAUUUGUGUGCUUUUUCUGUUAGUAAAAUGUCAAAAAGU